Molecule: ribosomal RNA, 253 nt
Filed under: uncultured bacterium
Lineage: Bacteria
Description: partial 16S ribosomal RNA
Rfam family: Bacterial small subunit ribosomal RNA
Source: RNAcentral
UACGAGGGGUCUAAGCGUUGUUCGGAAUCACUGGGCGUAAAGCGGGUGUAGGUGGCUAUGCAAGUUGGAUGUGAAAGCCCCGGGCUCAACCCGGGAAGUGCAUCCACAACUACGUAGCUUGAGUGCGGGAGAGAAAGGCAGAAUUCCUGGUGUAGUGGUGAAAUACGUAGAUAUCAGGAGGAACUCCGGUGGCGAAGGCGGCCUUUUGGCCCAGCACUGACACUCAGACCCGAAAGCGUGGGGAGCAAACAGG